GUUGGUGAACCAGCGGAGGGAUCAUUAAAAGAGUCUUAAAAAAACUCCCAAAACCCCUGUGUAUCUUACCCGUGUCGUUGCUUCGGCGGGCCUAACCGCCCGCCGGAGGUACCCAAACUCAAUGUCUUUUUAUAGUGUAUCUCUGAGCAACAAAACAAACAAAGUCAAAACUUUCAACAACGGAUCUCUUGGUUCUG
Molecule: unclassified non-coding RNA, 197 nt
Filed under: rhizosphere metagenome
Description: partial ribosomal RNA internal transcribed spacer region
Source: RNAcentral